Heteronotia binoei (common prickly gecko) is the source of this 275-nucleotide long non-coding RNA. RefSeq lists it as uncharacterized. The record is from RefSeq and is a predicted model, not a curated record. The transcript has 3 exons. NCBI's taxonomy places the organism in Eukaryota, Metazoa, Chordata, Lepidosauria, Squamata, Gekkonidae.
ACAGACACCCUGUGGGGUAGAAGAAGAUGAAGAAAUUGGAUUUAUACCCCACCCUUUGCUAGCCGAAGGAGUCUCAGAGCGGCUUACAAUCUCCUUUCCCUUCCCCUCCCCACCACAGACACCCUGUGAGGUAGAGGAGGAGGAGGAGAUUGGAUUUAUACCCCGCCCUUCACUAACCAAAGGAGUCUCAGAGCGGCUUACAAUCUCCUUUCCCUUCCCCUCCCCACAACAGACACCCUGUGAGCAAUGUUCCCUCUAAGCUGUGGGGUCCUGUG